GUUGAUGCCUCCUCGUGGAUCUCACCGCCAUUUGUCACAAUUUUGCUCUCGCUUUCACUGCAAAGCACCGCCGCUUCGAAGUGGCAAAUUUUUGUGUUAAAGGAAAGUUAUGUGACAAUGAUUUAAUUGCUCUUUACAUACUUGUGAACUUGAUCGAUCUCCAAACCAAUAGUGUUGAGUAUAUUAUCCAGAACGUGAGCAACAUUAGUAGCAAUUUGGAUUUUUGACAUCCAAGUGAUUUAGAGGUUAGAGGAGGAGCCUUUGAGAUUGCUGAGGAAGAG
Molecule: long non-coding RNA, 281 nt
Filed under: Solanum tuberosum (potato)
Lineage: Eukaryota; Viridiplantae; Streptophyta; Magnoliopsida; Solanales; Solanaceae
Description: long non-coding RNA (STUB_LNC002726)
Source: RNAcentral